RNAcentral lists this ribosomal RNA (484 nucleotides) under uncultured bacterium. RNAcentral's name for it is "partial 16S ribosomal RNA". It matches the Rfam family "Bacterial small subunit ribosomal RNA", at positions 30 to 507 of the family's 1533-position model. The record is from RNAcentral.
AUUGAACGCUGGCGGCAGGCCUAACACAUGCAAGUCGAGCGGAUGAAGGGAGCUUGCUCCUGGAUUCAGCGGCGGACGGGUGAGUAAUUCCUAGGAAUCUGCCUGGUAGUUGGGGAUAACGUCCGUAAACGGGCGCUAAUACCGCAUACGUCCUGAUUGAGAAAGUGGGGGAUCUUCGGACCUCACGCUAUCAGAUGAGCCUAGGUCGGAUUAGCUAGUUGGUGGGGUAAAGGCCUACCAAGGCGACGAUCCGUAACUGGUCUGAGAGGAUGAUCAGUCACACUGGAACUGAGACACGGUCCAGACUCCUACGGGAGGCAGCAGUGGGGAAUAUUCGACAAUGGGCGAAAGCCUGAUCCAGCCAUGCCGCGUGUGUGAAGAAGGUCUUCGGAUUGUAAAGCACUUUAAGUUGGGAGGAAGGGCAGUAAGUUAAUCCCUUGCUGUUUUGACGUUACCAACAGAAUAAGCACCGGCUAACUUCGUG